UACGGAGGGGGCUAGCGUUGUUCGGAAUUACUGGGCGUAAAGGGCGCGUAGGCGGCUUCGCCAGUCAGGCGUGAAAGCCCCGGGCUUAACCUGGGAAUUGCGCUUGAUACUGCGGAGCUGGAGUUCGGGAGAGGAGAGUGGAAUUCCCAGUGUAGAGGUGAAAUUCGUAGAUAUUGGGAAGAACACCAGUGGCGAAGGCGGCUCUCUGGACCGAUACUGACGCUGAGGCGCGAAAGCGUGGGGAGCAAACAGG
This 253-nucleotide unclassified non-coding RNA is filed under the name uncultured Alphaproteobacteria bacterium. Its description in RNAcentral is "contains 16S-23S intergenic spacer region". It matches the Rfam family "Bacterial small subunit ribosomal RNA", at positions 524 to 776 of the family's 1533-position model. The record is from RNAcentral. Lineage: Bacteria; Pseudomonadati; Pseudomonadota; Alphaproteobacteria.